AGCUUUUUCGAAUGUCGACUUGGAGGUUGUGCCCUUGAGGCGUGGCUUCCGGAGCUAACGCGUUAAGUCGACCGCCUGGGGAGUACGGCCGCAAGGUUAAAACUCAAAUGAAUUGACGGGGGCCCGCACAAGCGGUGGAGCAUGUGGUUUAAUUCGAUGCAACGCGAAGAACCUUACCUACUCUUGACAUCCAGAGAACUUACCAGAGAUGCUUUGGUGCCUUCGGGAACUCUGAGACAGGUGCUGCAUGGCUGUCGUCAGCUCGUGCCGA
RNAcentral lists this ribosomal RNA (271 nucleotides) under Enterobacter hormaechei. RNAcentral describes it as "partial 16S ribosomal RNA". It matches the Rfam family "Bacterial small subunit ribosomal RNA", at positions 798 to 1068 of the family's 1533-position model. The record is from RNAcentral. Lineage: Bacteria; Pseudomonadati; Pseudomonadota; Gammaproteobacteria; Enterobacterales; Enterobacteriaceae.